CGGGGCUUAAAGUCUUGUAAUUGGAAUGAUGGGAAUUUAAACCUCUUCCAGAGUAUCAAUUGGAGGGCAAGUCUGGUGCCAGCAGCCGCGGUAAUUCCAGCUCCAAUAGCGUAUAUUAAAAUUGUUGCAGUUAAAAAGCUCGUAGUUGAAUUUCUGCUGCAUUGCUUGUGUCCCUCUGGGGUCUGUGCAUGUGGCUUUUUUCGGACGGAGUUUCUUUGUCCGAAUGUUUACUUUGAGAAAAUUAGAGUGCUCAAAGCAGGCUUUCGCCUUGAAUAGUUUAGCAUGGAAUAAUAAAGUAGGACUUUGGUUCUAUUUUGUUGGUUUUAGGUACCAAAGUAAUGGUUAAUAGGAACAGUUGGGGGCAUUCGUAUUUAACUGUCAGAGGUGAAAUUCUUAGAUUUGUUAAAGACGAACUACUGCGAAAGCAUUUGCCAAGGAUGUUUUCAUUAAUCAAGAAC
RNAcentral lists this ribosomal RNA (458 nucleotides) under Theileria annulata. RNAcentral describes it as "SSU rRNA". It matches the Rfam family "Eukaryotic small subunit ribosomal RNA", at positions 486 to 984 of the family's 1831-position model. Lineage: Eukaryota; Apicomplexa; Aconoidasida; Piroplasmida; Theileriidae. The record is from RNAcentral.